AAGGAUCAUUAAUAUUGCAAAAGCCGGCAGAUUUUUAAUCUGCUUGGUGUGAGCAAAUUCUACUCCUCUCCGUUUUUCAUGCGCAGCUUAAAACCCUGCAAAUUGCAAAGCGUGAUUGAGUAAAAACCACUUGUUAACCUUAAAUUUUUGCUUCAGUAGCACGUUGUUUAAUAUUACAUUAAGCUGCGAUAAGGCUGCUGACAGCUAACUAUUAAAACGUUUAUACAUGGUUUAGUCAUGAUGUCUGAUAACUGUUUGAAUACAUCAAUCAAGUUAAAACUUUCAGCAACGGAUCUCUUGGUUCUC
This 306-nucleotide unclassified non-coding RNA is filed under the name uncultured fungus. Its description in RNAcentral is "partial contains 18S rRNA, ITS1, 5.8S rRNA, ITS2 and 28S rRNA". Lineage: Eukaryota; Fungi. The record is from RNAcentral.